CCUACGGGAGGCAGCAGUGAGGAAUAUUGGUCAAUGGCCGAGAGGCUGAACCAGCCAAGUCGCGUGAGGGAAGACGGCCCUACGGGUUGUAAGCCUCUUUUGUCGGGGAGCAAAGCGAACCACGUGUGGUUCAUUCCGAGUACCCGCAGAAAAAGCAUCGGCUAACCCCGUGCCAGCAGCCGCGGUAAUACGGAGGAUGCGAGCGUUAUCCGGAUUUAUUGGGUUUAAGGGGUGCGCAGGCGGAGGUGCAAGUCAGCGGUCAAAUUGCGGGGCUAAACCCCGUACUGCCGUUGAAACUGGACCACUAGAGUGCGCGAGAGGUAUGCGGAAGGCGUGGUGGAGCGGUGAAAUGCAUAGAUAUGACGAAGAACUCCGAUUGUGAAGGCAGCAUACCGGCGCGAAACUGACGCUCAUGCACGAAAGCGUGGGUAUCGAACAGGAUUAGAUACCCGGGUAGUC
RNAcentral lists this ribosomal RNA (459 nucleotides) under uncultured bacterium. RNAcentral describes it as "partial 16S ribosomal RNA". It matches the Rfam family "Bacterial small subunit ribosomal RNA", at positions 338 to 795 of the family's 1533-position model. The record is from RNAcentral.